GAUGAACGCUGGCGGCGUGCCUAAUACAUGCAAGUCGAGCGAACAGACGAGGAGCUUGCUCCUCUGACGUUAGCGGCGGACGGGUGAGUAACACGUGGAUAACCUACCUAUAAGACUGGGAUAACUUCGGGAAACCGGAGCUAAUACCGGAUAAUAUAUUUAACCGCAUGGUUCAAUAGUGAAAGACGGUUUUGCUGUCACUUAUAGAUGGAUCCGCGCCGCAUUAGCUAGUUGGUAAGGUAACGGCUUACCAAGGCGACGAUGCGUAGCCGACCUGAGAGGGUGAGCGGCCACACUGGAACUGAGACACGGUCCAGACUCCUACGGGAGGCAGCAGUAGGGAAUCUUCCGAAAUGGGCGAAAGACUGACGGAGCAACGCCGCGUGAGUGAUGAAGGUCUUAGGAUCGUAAAACUCUGUUAUUAGGGAAGAACAAAUGUGUAAGUAACUAUGCACGUCUUGACGGUACCUAAUCAGAAAGCCACGGCUAACUACGUG
This 497-nucleotide ribosomal RNA is filed under the name uncultured bacterium. Its description in RNAcentral is "partial 16S ribosomal RNA". It matches the Rfam family "Bacterial small subunit ribosomal RNA", at positions 28 to 507 of the family's 1533-position model. The record is from RNAcentral.